GGAGUUAGCCGGUGCUUCUUCUGCGAGUAACGUCACAGAUGUAAGGUAUUAACUUACACCCUUUCCUCCUCGCUGAAAGUGCUUUACAACCCGAAGGCCUUCUUCACACACGCGGCAUGGCUGCAUCAGGGUUUCCCCCAUUGUGCAAUAUUCCCCACUGCUGCCUCCCGUAGGAGUCUGGGCCGUGUCUCAGUCCCAGUGUGGCUGAUCAUCCUCUCAGACCAGCUAGGGAUCGUCGCCUAGGUGAGCCUUUACCUCACCUACUAGCUAAUCCCACCUGGGCUUAUCCAUCAGCGCAAGGCCCGAAGGUCCCCUGCUUUCCCCCGUAGGGCGUAUGCGGUAUUAGCAGUCGUUUCCAACUGUUAUCCCCCACAAAUGGGCAAAUUCCCAGGCAUUACUCACCCGUCCGCCGCUCGUCAUCUUCAAAAGCAAGCUUUUGAAAUGUUACCGCUCGACUUGCAUGUGUUAGGCCUGCCGCCAGCGUUCAUCUGAGCCAUAAUACAACUACUGA
Molecule: ribosomal RNA, 511 nt
Filed under: uncultured bacterium
Lineage: Bacteria
Description: partial 16S ribosomal RNA
Source: RNAcentral